RNAcentral lists this ribosomal RNA (274 nucleotides) under uncultured bacterium. Its description in RNAcentral is "partial 16S ribosomal RNA". It matches the Rfam family "Bacterial small subunit ribosomal RNA", at positions 523 to 796 of the family's 1533-position model. The record is from RNAcentral.
AUACGAAGGGGGCUAGCGUUGUUCGGAAUUACUGGGCGUAAAGCGCGCGUAGGCGGACUGAUCAGUUAGGGGUGAAAUCCCAGGGCUUAACCCUGGAACUGCCUCUAAUACUGUCAGUCUUGAGUUCGGGAGAGGUGAGUGGAAUUCCUAGUGUAGAGGUGAAAUUCGUAGAUAUUGGGAAGAACACCGGUGGCGAAGGCGGCCAUCUGGACCGGCACUGACGCUGAGGCGCGAAAGCGUGGGGAGCAAACAGGAUUAGAUACCCCGGUAGUCC